AACGAACGCUGGCGGCGUGCCUAAGACAUGCAAGUCGUGCGGAAAGGCUCCUUCGGGAGUACUCGAGCGGCGCACGGGUGAGUAACACGUGGGUAAUCUACCUGAGGGUCUGGGAUAACUCCGGGAAACUGGGGCUAAUACCGGAUGAGACCACAGCGUCUUUGGACGCAGCGGUCAAAGAUGGCCUCUCCUUGGAAGCUAUCGCCUACAGAUGAGCCCGCGUCCCAUAGCUAGUUGGCGGGGUAACGGCCCACCAAGGCGACGAUGGGUAGCUGGUCUGAGAGGAUGAUCAGCCACACUGGAACUGAGACACGGUCCAGACUCCUACGGGAGGCAGCAGUCGGGAAUUUUGGGCAAUGGGCGAAAGCCUGACCCAGCAACGCCGCGUGAGGGAUGAAGGCC
Molecule: ribosomal RNA, 402 nt
Filed under: uncultured bacterium
Lineage: Bacteria
Description: bacterial SSU rRNA
Rfam family: Bacterial small subunit ribosomal RNA
Source: RNAcentral